RNAcentral lists this microRNA (21 nucleotides) under Salicornia europaea (common glasswort). Its description in RNAcentral is "seu-miR11022". The record is from miRBase by way of RNAcentral. Lineage: Eukaryota; Viridiplantae; Streptophyta; Magnoliopsida; Caryophyllales; Amaranthaceae.
CGAGGCUGUGGGUGGAGAGGU